This 1395-nucleotide ribosomal RNA is filed under the name uncultured bacterium. Its description in RNAcentral is "bacterial SSU rRNA". It matches the Rfam family "Bacterial small subunit ribosomal RNA". The record is from RNAcentral.
AGAGUUUGAUCCUGGCUCAGAUUGAACGCUGGCGGCAGGCCUAACACAUGCAAGUCGAGCGGUAGAGAGAAGCUUGCUUCUCUUGAGAGCGGCGGACGGGUGAGUAAUGCCUAGGAAUCUGCCUGGUAGUGGGGGAUAACGUUCGGAAACGGACGCUAAUACCGCAUACGUCCUACGGGAGAAAGCAGGGGACCUUCGGGCCUUGCGCUAUCAGAUGAGCCUAGGUCGGAUUAGCUAGUUGGUGAGGUAAUGGCUCACCAAGGCGACGAUCCGUAACUGGUCUGAGAGGAUGAUCAGUCACACUGGAACUGAGACACGGUCCAGACUCCUACGGGAGGCAGCAGUGGGGAAUAUUGGACAAUGGGCGAAAGCCUGAUCCAGCCAUGCCGCGUGUGUGAAGAAGGUCUUCGGAUUGUAAAGCACUUUAAGUUGGGAGGAAGGGCAGUAAAUUAAUACUUUGCUGUUUUGACGUUACCGACAGAAUAAGCACCGGCUAACUCUGUGCCAGCAGCCGCGGUAAUACAGAGGGUGCAAGCGUUAAUCGGAAUUACUGGGCGUAAAGCGCGCGUAGGUGGUUUGUUAAGUUGGAUGUGAAAUCCCCGGGCUCAACCUGGGAACUGCAUUCAAAACUGACUGACUAGAGUAUGGUAGAGGGUGGUGGAAUUUCCUGUGUAGCGGUGAAAUGCGUAGAUAUAGGAAGGAACACCAGUGGCGAAGGCGACCACCUGGACUAAUACUGACACUGAGGUGCGAAAGCGUGGGGAGCAAACAGGGUUAGAUACCCUGGUAGUCCACGCCGUAAACGAUGUCAACUAGCCGUUGGAAGCCUUGAGCUUUUAGUGGCGCAGCUAACGCAUUAAGUUGACCGCCUGGGGAGUACGGCCGCAAGGUUAAAACUCAAAUGAAUUGACGGGGGCCCGCACAAGCGGUGGAGCAUGUGGUUUAAUUCGAAGCAACGCGAAGAACCUUACCAGGCCUUGACAUCCAAUGAACUUUCUAGAGAUAGAUUGGUGCCUUCGGGAACAUUGAGACAGGUGCUGCAUGGCUGUCGUCAGCUCGUGUCGUGAGAUGUUGGGUUAAGUCCCGUAACGAGCGCAACCCUUGUCCUUAGUUACCAGCACGUCAUGGUGGGCACUCUAAGGAGACUGCCGGUGACAAACCGGAGGAAGGUGGGGAUGACGUCAAGUCAUCAUGGCCCUUACGGCCUGGGCUACACACGUGCUACAAUGGUCGGUACAGAGGGUUGCCAAGCCGCGAGGUGGAGCUAAUCCCACAAAACCGAUCGUAGUCCGGAUCGCAGUCUGCAACUCGACUGCGUGAAGUCGGAAUCGCUAGUAAUCGCGAAUCAGAAUGUCGCGGUGAAUACGUUCCCGGGCCUUGCACUAACCGCCCGUC